Coffea arabica (coffee) is the source of this 335-nucleotide non-coding RNA. Lineage: Eukaryota; Viridiplantae; Streptophyta; Magnoliopsida; Gentianales; Rubiaceae. The record is from RefSeq and is a predicted model, not a curated record.
UAAACUGCAUUUUUAUAUGUUAUGUGUGGUAAAAUUCCUUGUCUCAUUGUUUUUCAUAGAUGCAGCGAGGAGAGAACUUAUUAUCAUAGAUGUGCUUGCUUCUGGUUUUGGAUACUUUUGGUUCUCUUAGCUUUUGCUUCUCAAAAGUGUUUCAAGAUCACGAGGUAGCAGAGGCAUUAUCUGAAUCUAGACUCUACGCAUGGGGUUUGCGUUCAACUGCUUGACCAUCAUUGGCCUGCAUUUGCUGUAGAAUUACAGGUGAUGGAGCGAGACCAGCACUGUCGCUUAAGCACCCUCAUCAGAGAGAGAUUGUUGCUUGAACAUGAGCAUCUUCC